RNAcentral lists this ribosomal RNA (484 nucleotides) under uncultured bacterium. RNAcentral's name for it is "partial 16S ribosomal RNA". It matches the Rfam family "Bacterial small subunit ribosomal RNA", at positions 29 to 523 of the family's 1533-position model. The record is from RNAcentral.
AGUGAACGCUGGCGGCGUGCUUAACACAUGCAAGUCGAACGAGAACGGAUUAUAGCUUGCUAUAAUUGUCAGCUAAGUGGCGCACGGGUGAGUAAUGUAUAGGUAAUAUGCCUCUUACUAAGGGAUAACAGUUGGAAACGAUUGCUAAUACCUUAUAUUCCUUUUUAUCAAAAGAUAAAAAGGGAAAGAUUUAUUGGUAAGAGAUUAGCCUGUAUUGUAUCAGUUAGUUGGUGGGGUAAUGGCCUACCAAGACGAUGACGCAUAACUGGUUUGAGAGGAUGAUCAGUCACACUGGAACUGAUACACGGUCCAGACUCCUACGGGAGGCAGCAGUGGGGAAUAUUGCACAAUGGACGAAAGUCUGAUGCAGCAACGCCGCGUGGAGGAUGACACAUUUCGGUGCGUAAACUCCUUUUAUAUAAGAAGAUAAUGACGGUAUUAUAUGAAUAAGCACCGGCUAACUCCGUGCCAGCAGCCGCCGUAA